AGUGAACGCUGGCGGUGUGCCUAACACAUGCAAGUCGAACGGACGCACAGUAAGAUUUCGCCCUUACGGUUGGCGGGUGGCGGGCGGGUGACGCAUACAUCGGCAUCUUCUUUUUCUGGGGGGAUUACGUAGGGAAAGUUACGCUAAUACCGCAUAUGACCUACGGCUGAGAUCAGUGGUUAUUCGCGCUUUUCCUGUUUGAAUUAGCCGAUGCCGGAUUAGCUAGUUGGGAGGGUAAGGGCCCACCAAGGCGACGAUGCGUAGCCGAUCUGAGAGGAUGAUCAGCCACACUGGAACUGAGACACGGUCCAGACUCCUACGGGAGGCAGCAGUGGGGAAUAUUCGACAAUGGGCGAAAGCCUGACCCAGCAAUGCCGCGUGAGUGAAGAAGGCCUUCGGAUCGUAAAGCCCUUUUAUUAGGGAAGAAAAACAGCAGAUUAAAACACCGCUGUUCUGACGGUACCCAAAGAAUAAGCACCGGCUAACUUCGUG
RNAcentral lists this ribosomal RNA (492 nucleotides) under uncultured bacterium. RNAcentral's name for it is "partial 16S ribosomal RNA". It matches the Rfam family "Bacterial small subunit ribosomal RNA", at positions 29 to 507 of the family's 1533-position model. The record is from RNAcentral.